AUAGAUCCCGGGUAGUCCACGCCCUAAACGAUGAAUGCUAGUCGUCGGGGAGCUCGUCUCUUCGGUGAUGCACUUAACAGAUUAAGCAUUCCGCCUGGGGAGUACGGUCGCAAGAUUAAAACUCAAAGGAAUAGACGGGGGACCCGCACAAGUGGUGGAGCAUGUGGUUUAAUUCGAAGAUACACGAAGAACCUUACCUGGCCUUGACAUGGUAGGAACCCUUAAGAGAUUAGGGGGUGCUAGCUUGCUAGAACCUACACACAGGUGCUGCACGGCUGUCGUCAGCUCGUGUCGUGAGAUGUUGGGUUAAGUCCCGCAACGAGCGCAACCCUCGUCGUUAGUUGCUAACAGUUCGGCUGAGCACUCUAACGAGACUGCCCUCGUAAGGAGGAGGAAGGUGAGGACGACGUCAAGUCAUCAUGGCCCUUACGGCCAGGGCUACACACGUGCUACAAUGGGGCGUACAAAGAGCUGCAAUACCGCGAGGUGGAGCCAAUCUCUUAAGGCGUCUCUCAGUUCGGAUUGUUCU
Molecule: ribosomal RNA, 529 nt
Filed under: uncultured bacterium
Lineage: Bacteria
Description: bacterial SSU rRNA
Rfam family: Bacterial small subunit ribosomal RNA
Source: RNAcentral